CAAUAUGUCACUUUCAAUCAAAGGCGCUUAAAUAUAAACAUACAGCUCGUGUAAGACGUGCUCUCCGCUCUUUAUGAGCAACUCUGCACUUCGGCAUCAAUCAAAUACAUCAUGCACCUCUUAUUUUAGUUUUAACAAGAAGUUUAGAAUCUGGCUCCAAUUCUAAACUUGCUUCACCCAAAAUAAAGCAGGGAGGGCGGUAGAGAGGCGGCGACCUGCCGAGGCAAGAGUUUGUUGAAAUACACUGUUCACAAACACAUGUCCUGAGACAUGUGCGUGUAUGUCCUGAGAACAAUGUCUGCCGCCGUGUUGAGCUGAAGGAUUUGUAAACGCAGCUUGUGACGGAGACGUGCAGCGGAGUGAAGCCAGCGGGCCGUCAAGCUCCAGCUGCCCCGGUAAUGGCGUCCGUCCUCCGGCAGGAGUCACCACGUAGCUUCCGCUGGCACGCAAAGAGCUACUCGAGACAAGCUAGCUGAAGCUUUUCUGGUUUAACGUGUAAAACUGCGACAUUUAACAAGACAAUAAAAACGCGAAUUUAAUCUAAAAGCGUUUUAAACAGAAACAUUCGACACGUGCCGCAGAUUAUAGCAUCAGUAAGUAAAACUACAACAAUUAUAAAAUGCGUCGACCUCCUUCGGUUGUAAACACGAAGGGAUUAAAAUGGCGAAAUAUUCGCCUGGUGUCAAUGAUUUCAUGCAAACUGCGAGCUGGAUGGUCCCGGUGCUCCGGUGGAUGGUCCCGGUGCUGAGCGGCAGGAUGUCUGGCUGCUGCCCCAGAAGCCUUCACUGCGAAGCCGCCAUGAAUGUUCUGCUGACUCGGGGACAAACGACCAGAAAACCCCACAAAUCUGUUUAAAAUCACAUCUAACUACUCACCUUCAGCCGUAAACCCCGGGGAGUCAGCUCGAAACGAAUCCGACAAAAGGAGCGUCUAGUCCGGUAUGAAACUCCGCCCAGCGCCGCAGGGGGAGGAACUCCGGGAGAAAACAUGAGGACAAAGGCGGAGGAUGAAACCAGAGAUAGCGGAUAAAACAGCAGCCAAACCCGCUGAAAACUACUUAACAUGUACAAUUAUCAUUUUUAUUUUAUGUAUUUUACACAAGCUUUCAGUCAAUAUGUAAAAAAAAAUAAAAACUGCGGCAGCGUCUUUAUCUGGAAACCUCCCGUCCUGACUUUAACCUGGUCCGGGUCCAGAUGCUGAAACCGACGGGGAGACCGAGGACUGUGGCCCGGGGACCCAGCCGUGCCGGAGGGAGGCUGCUCCGGGCUCCGAGAGGAAGCAGAACCAAAGUGUGCAGAAAGUCACCAGGUGAGCCGCAUCUCAGGUCUCCUCCCGGACCGUCCGGUGCUCAUCAGCGGCUCACCAGCGGCAGUGUGACCUGCAUCCUGCGGGACAGCAGCCCGCAUCUACAUGGCCUCCUGCCCGCUGAGAACACACCGUCUGCCCGGGAGACCCGCCGACCUAUACCGGCGUUCUUACACUGUUAAUCAUAAAUCCUAUUUUUUUAUUGUAGAAUAAUGCACUAAUUGUACAUACUUAUUUCUUAUCAAGUAUUUAUGAUUUGAAAAACUAAACCCUUAAUUUGAAAAGCCCUUAAUGAACACAAGUUUAAGGGUUUCAUGAUUUUCCCUUUAACUUCCACAAUCCAUGAAGAGUUUAAGUGUAAUUAAGGUUCAGCUGCUAAUUAAUGAGAUUUUACUUCUGAUUAUUAUUUAGAUAUUUUACAACUUUCAUGGACUGGAAUAUAUUAAGAUAUAUUAUUAAUUGAAAUACUUUAAUAUUCAGUUUCGUAAUGUUAAAUAUUGUUUUAUGUUUUAAUGUUUGUCCCCCUGCCACUGAGUUUUUUAUUGUCAAAAUGUGUUCAAUAAAUAAAAUUAGGACCAAAUUAAUUUUCCCAUAAUGCAUCACGCUGACUAGAUGAAGGACGGGCGAUAGAAAAGUAGAAAAUAAUCUUUAGUAAAGUAAAAUAAUCUCAAACUAUGUUGAUGAAGGAUCAACGUAUACAUUGACAUUUAAAGACAUAUUCUGUAUAUCAGGAGCUGGAAGGAAAUUUAUUUAUAUAUUAUAAUAUACUUACUACAUGAAUGUAGAAGAUAACCUGCAGAUGAAUCCAUGAUGAGAGCAGCAGCGCUACACAAAAGACCACAAAUGUUUAUUUGUUUAUUGUUUUCCUGCUCGGCUCAGGCCCGGCACAGGAAACAGACGGAUGACUUCAUAUUUCACAAUAAAAUAACAUGAAAACAAUAAGAAGCACCUUCAGUCUGUAGAAAACAUAUUUUAAUAAGUAGAUAAAAACACUGGUUAACCUUCAGACUGACCAGAGCAGAAACAUCAAACCUGAAACAUGAGAUCAUUAUUUAUUUUAACGUAAACCUCAUUAGGAGAUAAUUGUCUUUUCUUUGGUGACUGAGAUGUGCUUCCAUGCUAGGCUACCAGUUUGUGCUAAGCUACCAGUGUUUGUGCUAAGCUAGGCUACCAGUGUUUGUGUUAAGCUAGGCUACAAGUGUUUGUGCAAAAAUGUAAUUGAUAACAUCAGCUCUCAUCGUGUUUUACUUU
Long non-coding RNA from Cottoperca gobio, 2556 nucleotides. RefSeq lists it as uncharacterized. NCBI's taxonomy places the organism in Eukaryota, Metazoa, Chordata, Actinopteri, Perciformes, Bovichtidae. The record is from RefSeq and is a predicted model, not a curated record. The transcript is spliced from 2 exons.